This is a non-coding RNA of Pelobates cultripes (western spadefoot toad), 974 nucleotides long. Lineage: Eukaryota; Metazoa; Chordata; Amphibia; Anura; Pelobatidae. The record is from the annotation of a GenBank genome assembly.
AGUGUAAACUGGUCUGUUGUGGAUUCAUAUUUUUUUAUGUUUUUCUUUUACCACACCAGUGUAAGGAUUGUUUUGCUGUACUAAAAUUAGUUAAACUGGUAUUUUGAUGUCUUGAAAACAGCUCUAAAGGGGCACUAUAGUCACCAGAACUACAGCUUAAUGUAGUUGUUCUGGUGUUUAUACCAUGUCCCUUCAGGCUGAGCAAUGAACAUGUUGCCUUUUCAGAGAAAGUAUUGGCAGUCAGUCAAAGGGUCUGCAUGAAGACGCUGAACGCUCCCAAUAGAAAUGGCCCCCAAAUUAGUGUUUGUGGCAAUGUAGCUUCCCCCUUCUGUCACUUACUCGGGUCCAGCGUGAUGUCCCUUGGCGCUGGCUCGGCUUCUCCCCUGCUAAUGUCAGACGGCGGGGGAGACCUAAUGCGCAUGUGUGGCAAUUGCCUCGCUUGCAUAAGGAUUUCCCCAUAGGGGGAAGCAUUAUUCAAUGCUUUCCUAUGGGGAUUCCAGUGAUGCUGGAAGUCCUCAUGCAUAGCGUGAGGACAUUGUUUAGGCGACCAAAAGUCGCCCAUAUCCACCUGUUAGUCCCUCUAGGGGCUGUCAGCCACUCGAGGAGUUAACCCUAGCAGGUAAUCUUUGCAGUAAAAACUGCAAUAAUUACAUGCUCUGGGUUAAGGGUGAUGGUAGUUUGCACCCAGACCACUUCAAUGGGCUGAAGUGGUCUGGGUGCCUACAGUGUCACUUUAAGUACGUAAACGUUUGCUCUUCUCAGAUACUGAUCUAAAAGGAGUUGCCUAUUUGGUGAACAAAGUAAGAAAUCCUUUUUUAAAAUUUAUUUAAUAAAUGUGCUAGAGUGUGGUUUUAUAUCCAGGAACUAUGUGCCUAAAUGUCAACUUUUUUUUUUAUUUUUUAUAAAGACUCUUCCAUCGUACAAUCUGAUCUAUGCGCCAUUUGGAACCUCAUACAUCAUAACAAAGAAUCCAG